CUUUCACACCAGGACUUCCUGGGGCUCCACUGUUGCCUUGAUACCCCUGAAGAAGGAGAGGACAGCACAGUCACCCAGAGGCAGGGGCCCUGAGGCAUGGUCACGCCUGUGCGGUGUGUGGUGUGGAGCCCCUAUUAUCUUCCAGCGGAAUCUGCUUGCCAGGCACAUGGGGGCCCUGCAGGGUCCCCUGGAACUUGUUCAGCCUCGUGAGGAGGGCACAGGUCAGAGGGGCUGGUGGCUCAGGGCACAUGGCCUGUUCUUCCUGUCCCUCCCCGUGUCCCCAGAGCCCAAUGCGGCACCAUGGUGACAGCAGAGAUGGUGGCCAGCGUGACUGUUCAUCUGGGCCAUGGGCGUGAGUGUGGCCAGCUCAGCUGCAGGCGAAGAGGCAGAGGGGCUCACCUUGCUUCCCUUGGCCCCGAUUUCUCCCGGGGGCCCUCUGCGUCCUGGGCGGCCAGGGUCCCCCUGGA
RNAcentral lists this long non-coding RNA (467 nucleotides) under Homo sapiens (human). RNAcentral's name for it is "HSALNT0404703". The record is from RNAcentral. Lineage: Eukaryota; Metazoa; Chordata; Mammalia; Primates; Hominidae.